RNAcentral lists this ribosomal RNA (468 nucleotides) under uncultured bacterium. Its description in RNAcentral is "partial 16S ribosomal RNA". It matches the Rfam family "Bacterial small subunit ribosomal RNA", at positions 28 to 507 of the family's 1533-position model. The record is from RNAcentral.
GACGAACGCUGGCGGCGUGCUUAACACAUGCAAGUCGAACGGAAAGGCCCUGCUUUUGUGGGGUGCUCGAGUGGCGAACGGGUGAGUAACACGUGAGUAACCUGCCCUUGACUUUGGGAUAACUUCAGGAAACUGGGGCUAAUACCGGAUAGGAGCUCCUGCUGCAUGGUGGGGGUUGGAAAGUUUCGGCGGUUGGGGAUGGACUCGCGGCUUAUCAGCUUGUUGGUGGGGUAGUGGCUUACCAAGGCUUUGACGGGUAGCCGGCAUGAGAGGGUGACCGGCCACAUUGGGACUGCGGUACGGCCCAGACUCCUACGGGAGGCAGCAGUGGGGAAUAUUGCACAAUGGGCGGAAGCCUGAUGCAGCAACGCCGCGUGCGGGAUGACGGCCUUCGGGUUGUAAACCGCUUUCGCCUGUGACGAGGCGUGAGUGACGGUAAUGGGUAAAGAAGCACCGGCUAACUACGUG